UACGUAGGGUGCAAGCGUUAAUCGGAAUUACUGGGCGUAAAGCGUGCGCAGGCGGUUGUGCAAGACAGAUGUGAAAUCCCCGAGCUCAACUUGGGAACUGCAUUUGUGACUGCACGGCUAGAGUGUGUCAGAGGGGGGUAGAAUUCCACGUGUAGCAGUGAAAUGCGUAGAUAUGUGGAGGAAUACCGAUGGCGAAGGCAGCCCCCUGGGAUAACACUGACGCUCAUGCACGAAAGCGUGGGGAGCAAACAGG
RNAcentral lists this ribosomal RNA (253 nucleotides) under uncultured Burkholderiales bacterium. Its description in RNAcentral is "partial 16S ribosomal RNA". It matches the Rfam family "Bacterial small subunit ribosomal RNA", at positions 524 to 776 of the family's 1533-position model. The record is from RNAcentral. Lineage: Bacteria; Pseudomonadati; Pseudomonadota; Betaproteobacteria; Burkholderiales.